Molecule: ribosomal RNA, 493 nt
Filed under: uncultured bacterium
Lineage: Bacteria
Description: partial 16S ribosomal RNA
Rfam family: Bacterial small subunit ribosomal RNA
Source: RNAcentral
AUUGAACGCUGGCGGCAUGCCUUACACAUGCAAGUCGAACGGUAACAGGUUAAGCUGACGAGUGGCGAACGGGUGCGUAAUAUAUCGGAACGUGCCCAGUCGUGGGGGAUAACGUAGCGAAAGCUACGCUAAUACCGCAUACGAUCUACGGAUGAAAGCGGGGGAUCGCACGAACUCGCGCGAUUGGAGCGGCCGAUAUCAGAUUUGGUUGUUGGUUAGGUACAAGCUCACCAAGCCUGCGAUCUGUAGCUGGUAUGAGAGGACGACCAGCCAUACUGGAACUGAGACACGGUCCAGACUCCUACGGGAGGCAGCAGUGGGGAAUUUUGGACAAUGGACGCAAGUCUGAUCCAGCAAUGCCGCGUGCAGGACGAAGGCCUUCGGGUUGUAAACUGCUUUUGUACGGAACGGAACGGUGAGCUCUAAUACAGUUUGCUAAUGACGGUACCGUAAGAAUAAGCACCGGCUAACUACGUGCCAGCCGCCGCUGUAA